This 21-nucleotide non-coding RNA is filed under the name Arabidopsis thaliana (thale cress). Lineage: Eukaryota; Viridiplantae; Streptophyta; Magnoliopsida; Brassicales; Brassicaceae. The record is from RNAcentral.
UUAGGUGCUUGCGUCGACUUG